CUGCCGGCAAAGCCCUCUUCAACCCACUGGAGUCAGCAGGCCCAGUGCUUCAUAAACCAAGUUAUGAGAGCAGAGCUGAGAAUUUCUAAGGAGACUCCUUUUUAAAGCCUUUUACUUCACCUCCUCUCUAACAGCUAGAACGGUCACUGCGCAGGAUCGAGCUACAAUGAAGAGGAGGGAGGCAGUCUGCACGCACCGCCAUUUUCUAGGAACUGGGAAGCCCCCCCACCCCUUAGGAAGAUCCAUCCCUGUGGAACCUUGCCAAGGCUUACCAGCCUUUGCUGAGCUUGAUCUAUUGUCCCUCCUUGUCCCCAUCAAAAUAUCCAGCACUCCACCUUCAGGGAGUAGACUUGACCCUCAAAUAGCAAGUUCAGCCUUCCCAGGUCUAGGUUCCCUGGGAGGUCAAGAUUCGUCUGGUUCCUUAGUACAGAGGGCUAGCUGUGAGUUGGAAUCCCCCUAUGAGCUUUAGAAUCAGUCAAGAGAAACUGGGCCCCUUCCCUUCAUCCCUCUUCUUUUCCCUUUUUGUCCCAGAGCUCAGCUCUGACUCAAAGUUUUUCCAUUUACCAUCAACAUGGAAACUUGGCUCCUCACAUGCCUAUAUUAUCCCCCUUUUGCACAUGGUCUUGUUGAUCAAAACUCCCUUUCUGUGAAAGAGGCCUGUGGGGCUCAAGAAGCCUGGUCAGCCAGCCAGGCUAGUCCCACAUACCUCAGAACCAGUUUAAUAAAGGCUCUAUGUCAUU
Molecule: non-coding RNA, 740 nt
Filed under: Pongo abelii (Sumatran orangutan)
Lineage: Eukaryota; Metazoa; Chordata; Mammalia; Primates; Hominidae
Source: RNAcentral